This 274-nucleotide ribosomal RNA is filed under the name uncultured bacterium. RNAcentral's name for it is "partial 16S ribosomal RNA". It matches the Rfam family "Bacterial small subunit ribosomal RNA", at positions 523 to 796 of the family's 1533-position model. The record is from RNAcentral.
AUACGGGGGGUGCAAGCGUUAUUCGGAUUUAUUGGGCGUAAAGGGCGCGUAGGCGGCUUGGUAAGUCAGAUGUGAAAGCCCGGGGCUCAACCCCGGAAGUGCAUUUGAAACUAUCAGGCUUGAGUAUGGGAGAGGGAAGUGGAAUUCCUGGUGUAGAGGUGAAAUUCGUAGAUAUCAGGAGGAAUACCGGUGGCGAAGGCGACUUCCUGGACCAAUACUGACGCUGAGGCGCGAAGGCGUGGGGAGCAAACAGGAUUAGAUACCCUAGUAGUCC